Molecule: long non-coding RNA, 1061 nt
Filed under: Mytilus galloprovincialis (Mediterranean mussel)
Lineage: Eukaryota; Metazoa; Mollusca; Bivalvia; Mytilida; Mytilidae
Source: RNAcentral
AUUCGGUGUAAGUUCGAAAAGACACCAUAGUUUGGUGACUAUUAGUCAUUUUAUAUUUGAAAGUAAAUAUAUGUUUUCAAUUGUAAUGACCUGCCUUAUCUCAUCUUAAUGGGUUACCUUGACAGAAUUCAAAAAGGGUCAAAUUCGGUCCAUUCAACACAAAAGUUGAACUUCACAGGCUCUGUAUUUACAGCUAUAAAUCCAUAUUGUGAAGAAAAGAGACUUGUAAAAGAAGAACAAGUUUAAGUAAUAUUGUUAAACACUGACAGAUCAAAUUGAGUGUCAGUAAUGGACUUUCAGAACUAUAGAGUGUUUUCGUUAUCGAACUUCUAAAUGAAUGCGUAUACCAUGCUUGUAGAAAGUAAAUUGAACUAAAAAAAGUCAUUAUUUGAUAUUUCAGAUCUUUAUCCUGCAUCUCAAAAAGAGAUAAAUACAAACACAUAAAUAACGAUGCAAGUAUCUCGAGAAUUUGAAGAAGAAAACAAUUCAGCAUUUGCAUAGUUUCCACAUACAAUAGAUGCAUAUUUAGGAAGUUAUGUACAUAAGAUUAAGAAAUUGAAUAAAACAAAAACGUUGAUAACGGUUAAGUGAUCGCAAGUAUCACCACGAGACUUUAGGAAGAGAGCAAUUCACCGAUUGUAUAAUUUCCGCAUAUAAUAGAUCUGAUGCAUUUAGGAAGUACAUGCACAUUAAUUGUAUAGAUAAAUAAGUAAGUGUGAGAAGUCCUGUAAAUAUAUGAAACUCGACCUGAUUUCGGGAUUUAAAUGACGAUUGGAAAAUCCAUUACAAUUCAAAUUGGCAUGGGUUUGACACAAAAAUAGAUAUACACAGGUGAAAGACAGGUAUUUUGUCAACAUAUAACUGGGAUAUAUGAAGAACAUCAAAUUGAAGUAUGGAAGUAGGACUAUUCUGUGUCAUUCUGUUUUUAUGCAGUUAAGCUGCAUUAUGCGAGCACCCUAGAUUUGUGUUCUACCCAAUAAAUCCUGAAAUACUUGCCAUUGUUAUUAUCUAGCCUGCUACUAUGUUAUAUAUAACUAAUUGAACACUUUUUUAAUACUUUU